Molecule: ribosomal RNA, 119 nt
Filed under: Microcebus murinus (gray mouse lemur)
Lineage: Eukaryota; Metazoa; Chordata; Mammalia; Primates; Cheirogaleidae
Source: RNAcentral
GUCUACAGCCAUACCACCCUGGAAGUAUCCAAUCUUGUCCAAUCUAGGAAGGUAAACAGGAUUGAGCCUGGUUAGCACUUGGAUGGGAGACCACCUGGGAAUACUGGGUGCUGUAGGCU